This 650-nucleotide long non-coding RNA is filed under the name Homo sapiens (human). RNAcentral's name for it is "DICER1 antisense RNA 1". The record is from RNAcentral. Lineage: Eukaryota; Metazoa; Chordata; Mammalia; Primates; Hominidae.
GAGUAGCUGGGAUUACAGGGGCACGCCACCACACCCAGCUAAUUUUUGUAUUUUUAGAAGAGACGGGGUUUCACCAUGUUGGCCAUGAUGGUCUCGAUUUCUGACCUUGUCAUCCGUCCGCCUUGGCCUCCCAAAGUGCUGGGAUUACGGGCGUGAGCCACCGUACCCAGCCUGCUUCCUGUUUUAACAGACGAAGAAAUGGAAUAACUUCCAACAACACAGGUUGGAGCUGAAGGAGUGCCCAGGCUGCGGAUGGAGGAAGGACGUGCUCGGGAGAAGGUGAAGAUGGGAGAGAAGCAAGAUCUUCUGUGUUUGGACCAAGGACACAUUUCCUUACUCCAUAGCAGCUGUGGUCAGUGGCUUAGCUCGGACAAGGAGAUGAGAGCCCAUGUGUUGUGAGGGUUCUUCUGGGAACUCUGAGAAGGCAGGAGCCGCCCCCGCCCUUCACUGCCUCUCUUCCAUUCUGCAGCAUGGAAUAUGGAUGUGUGGUCUGGAUGUACAGACACCAUUUUGGACCAUAAAGACAAGGACGAUUGUCUAAGGAUGACACAGCCAGAGCACUGAGAGUGGCGAGAAGGACAGGGGAGCUGCUGUGCCAAGCAGGACUGUCUCUCUUAAGAGAAAAAUAAAAUUUAUUGGUGUUUAAACCA